RNAcentral lists this ribosomal RNA (978 nucleotides) under Microbacterium paraoxydans. RNAcentral describes it as "bacterial SSU rRNA". It matches the Rfam family "Bacterial small subunit ribosomal RNA", at positions 33 to 1018 of the family's 1533-position model. Lineage: Bacteria; Bacillati; Actinomycetota; Actinomycetes; Micrococcales; Microbacteriaceae. The record is from RNAcentral.
ACGCUGGCGGCGUGCUUAACACAUGCAAGUCGAACGGUGAACACGGAGCUUGCUCUGUGGGAUCAGUGGCGAACGGGUGAGUAACACGUGAGCAACCUGCCCCUGACUCUGGGAUAAGCGCUGGAAACGGCGUCUAAUACUGGAUAUGUGACGUGACCGCAUGGUCUGCGUUUGGAAAGAUUUUUCGGUUGGGGAGGGGCUCGCGGCCUAUCAGCUUGUUGGUGAGGUAAUGGCUCACCAAGGCGUCGACGGGUAGCCGGCCUGAGAGGGUGACCGGCCACACUGGGACUGAGACACGGCCCAGACUCCUACGGGAGGCAGCAGUGGGGAAUAUUGCACAAUGGGCGAAAGCCUGAUGCAGCAACGCCGCGUGAGGGAUGACGGCCUUCGGGUUGUAAACCUCUUUUAGCAGGGAAGAAGCGAAAGUGACGGUACCUGCAGAAAAAGCGCCGGCUAACUACGUGCCAGCAGCCGCGGUAAUACGUAGGGCGCAAGCGUUAUCCGGAAUUAUUGGGCGUAAAGAGCUCGUAGGCGGUUUGUCGCGUCUGCUGUGAAAUCCCGAGGCUCAACCUCGGGCCUGCAGUGGGUACGGGCAGACUAGAGUGCGGUAGGGGAGAUUGGAAUUCCUGGUGUAGCGGUGGAAUGCGCAGAUAUCAGGAGGAACACCGAUGGCGAAGGCAGAUCUCUGGGCCGUAACUGACGCUGAGGAGCGAAAGGGUGGGGAGCAAACAGGCUUAGAUACCCUGGUAGUCCACCCCGUAAACGUUGGGAACUAGUUGUGGGGUCCAUUCCACGGAUUCCGUGACGCAGCUAACGCAUUAAGUUCCCCGCCUGGGGAGUACGGCCGCAAGGCUAAAACUCAAAGGAAUUGACGGGGACCCGCACAAGCGGCGGAGCAUGCGGAUUAAUUCGAUGCAACGCGAAGAACCUUACCAAGGCUUGACAUAUACGAGAACGGGCCAGAAAUGGUCAACUCUU